AGCGGCGAACGGGUGAGUAACGCGUGGAUAACCUGCCCUGAGGUGGGGGAUAACCCGGGGAAACUCGGGCUAAUACCGCAUGAUACCGAGAGGUCAAAGGGGGCGUCGCAAGGGCUCUCGCCAUAGGAGGGGUCCGGCGUUCGAUUAGCUAGUUGGUAGGGUAAUGGCCUACCAAGGCGACGAUCGAUAGCCGGCCUGAGAGGGUGAUCGGCCACACUGGAACUGAGACACGGUCCAG
RNAcentral lists this ribosomal RNA (238 nucleotides) under uncultured bacterium. RNAcentral describes it as "partial 16S ribosomal RNA". It matches the Rfam family "Bacterial small subunit ribosomal RNA", at positions 94 to 334 of the family's 1533-position model. The record is from RNAcentral.